This 468-nucleotide ribosomal RNA is filed under the name uncultured bacterium. RNAcentral's name for it is "partial 16S ribosomal RNA". It matches the Rfam family "Bacterial small subunit ribosomal RNA", at positions 28 to 507 of the family's 1533-position model. The record is from RNAcentral.
GACGAACGCUGGCGGCGUGCUUAACACAUGCAAGUCGAACGGAAAGGCCCUGCUUUUGUGGGGUGCUCGAGUGGCGAACGGGUGAGUAACACGUGAGUAACCUGCCCUUGACUUUGGGAUAACUUCAGGAAACUGGGGCUAAUACCGGAAAGGAGCUCCUGCUGCAUGGUGGGGGUUGGAAAGUUUCGGCGGUUGGGGAUUGACUCGCGGCUUAUCAGAUUGUGGGUGGGGUAGUGGCUUACCAAGGCUUUGACGGGUAGCCGGCCUGAGAGGGUGACCGGCCCCAUGGGGACUGAGAUACGGCCCAGACUCCUACGGGAGGCAGCAGUGGGGAAUAUUGCACGAUGGGCCGAAGCCUGAUGCAGCAACGCCGCGUUCGGGAUGACGGCCUUCGGGUUGACAACCGCUUUCGCAUGUGACGGAGCCUGAGUGACGGUACUGGGUAAAGAAGCACCGGCUAACUCCGUG